RNAcentral lists this ribosomal RNA (548 nucleotides) under uncultured bacterium. RNAcentral describes it as "partial 16S ribosomal RNA". It matches the Rfam family "Bacterial small subunit ribosomal RNA", at positions 355 to 895 of the family's 1533-position model. The record is from RNAcentral.
UGGGGAAUUUUGGACAAUGGGCGAAAGCCUGAUCCAGCAAUGCCGCGUGUGUGAAGAAGGCCUUCGGGUUGUAAAGCACUUUUGCCCGGAAAGAAAUCCUUGGCUCUAAUACAGUCGGGGGAUGACGGUACCGGAAGAAUAAGCACCGGCUAACUACGUGCCAGCAGCCGCGGUAAUACGUAGGGUGCAAGCGUUAAUCGGAAUUACUGGGCGUAAAGCGUGCGCAGGCGGUUUGCUAAGACCGAUGUGAAAUCCCCGGGCUCAACCUGGGAACUGCAUUGGUGACUGGCAGGCUAGAGUAUGGCAGAGGGGGGUAGAAUUCCACGUGUAGCAGUGAAAUGCGUAGAGAUGUGGAGGAAUACCGAUGGCGAAGGCAGCCCCCUGGGCCAAUACUGACGCUCAUGCACGAAAGCGUGGGGAGCAAACAGGAUUAGAUACCCUGGUAGUCCACGCCCUAAAACGAUGUCAACUAGUUGUUGGGGAUUCAUUUCCUUAGUAACGUAGCUAACGCGUGAAGUUGACCGCCUGGGGAGUACGGUCGCAAGAUU